CUGGUUUAUUUUUGUACAGGAUGCCAGUGGCUGCUCUCAGGGGGCGGGGCUUAGAAGUAGUUGACCACCCUGCGGAGGGAUUGGACGUUGGCGUUCUGCGCCUCCCACUCGUUGUGGCUGUUGUAGUCGCCGCGCUCCACGAUGUACAUCCGCCCACGGAAGUUGGGCUCCUCGUACAUCACCCAGCUGCAGACGGAGAAGACAACAGCAAUAUGAAGAAGUGAUGGAUGACUCUGCUUAUUGUAGCGGAGUCCAGCGUUGUUCACACACACAGACACACACACAGACACACACACAGACACACACACGGACACACACACAGUGCUGAACUCACGCUCCGUCUCCGUAGACCUUGAUGGAGUUGAUGCAGCUCUUGGCGAGGCCGCGGCUCUGCAGGAAGGGGCAGUCGUCACAGAUCUCCACGCACUGACCGGAGAAGUUACAGCCGUCGAACAGCUCGAUGCGAUAGUGCUCUCCGUGCUGAGGGGGGGGGGGGGGGACAGGAAGUGAGACAGGAAGUGAGACACGGCCUGAAUGCUCUCUGAUACCGGACAUUGCUCUGGUUAGAAAACCUUCUGACGCAAAGUCACUUGAAAUGUGUCCUAUUUUGUUUUCAGCAAAUCCUUUGAAACAUUUUAUUGUUUCUAUUUUAAUAUUGAAAUAGGUAUGUUUCCAUCCACCAUUUAAAAAUAUGAUUUUUGAUCAGUUGACUGAAGAGAAAAGAUUUAGUAACAAGCUAAAUCUUCUUCUCAUCCUCUGAGGAGCAGGAUUAUUUCCGGAGAAUCUGGGACCUGAUGGAUUACAUCAUAUUAAAGGCUCUCGUCCUCCCACCAGAAGGUCGGCUGCUCGAAUUCCAGCCAACGGCAAAGUGCCCUUGGGCAAGAUGCAGAACUCGUGCUGGCUUUGGGCUAAAUGACAUGACAUGACACAAAGACUGCAGGAGCCCUGUCAGAGGCGUGUACCAUGCCGAUGGGUUUGCAGGAUCCCAUGUGAUCGUUGUGGGAGUUCCACCUCUGGAACUCUGGGUACUCUCCGUGCUCCAGGAUGUACUGCUGGCCCUUAAAGUCGGGGUGGUCGAAGCAGAUCCAGGCGCCGCUCUCCACUCGGAUGGAGUUCACCCUGCAAACACAAGAGUCAGUCACCUGUUCAUGAAGCCGCGGUCCUGGAAGUUAUCACAGUCGCCUCUGACCUCCAGCUUCCUGCCGGUGAAGCACUUCCCCUCGUAGAAGGUGAUCUGAAAAACAAACAACGUUUUUCUGUUGUAAUUAUAACCACGCCCUCAGUGGUGAUGUCACAGUGAGCCGACACGCCCCUGAGUAACCUGACAUCAUGGCGACGACAUGUUGGACUGUGAGCGGCUGAUAGGUCACAGGUUGAAAAGAUGAUUUCAGAGCAGACAAAGAUUUAAGGAAUCUUUCAUCUUUUUCCUGAUUACAACACAGCUUCAUGUUUAAAAAAAUAUAAGAGAAAAAAUCACGAGCUGCAGAUUCAUCAAGACAUUUUAAAAUCAUCGUCUGUUUUAUCUGUAGAGAAGAUUUUAAA
Molecule: long non-coding RNA, 1542 nt
Organism: Pleuronectes platessa (European plaice)
Lineage: Eukaryota; Metazoa; Chordata; Actinopteri; Pleuronectiformes; Pleuronectidae
Exons: 2
Source: RefSeq, a predicted model, not a curated record